ACAUGGUUACGGGCUUGCCAACAACAACAACUACAACAACAACACCAACUACACCAACAAGUACAACAGCUACAACUACUCCGUCAAGAAAUAUGACAACUAUAACAACAACUACAACAAAACCUACUACAAUGACUACUAAUAAACCAACUACAGCAAAACCAACUACACCACCAACAACUAUUACAACAACUACACCAAUGACAAAAGAUUGAAAGAAGUUACUCAAAUGUGUCUAACUACAUUAAAGAUUCUGCAAAAGUCACUGGCUUCAGGGCUGGUAGCAUUAUAGCAGACUUCACAAUUAGUUCAGUUGGCACAAUUAGUACCCUUGAUAUUGGAACAGCAAAUGCACAGGUUUCCGAAAUUCUCAA
This is a long non-coding RNA of Myxocyprinus asiaticus (Chinese sucker), 374 nucleotides long. RefSeq lists it as uncharacterized. The transcript is spliced from 3 exons. NCBI's taxonomy places the organism in Eukaryota, Metazoa, Chordata, Actinopteri, Cypriniformes, Catostomidae. The record is from RefSeq and is a predicted model, not a curated record.